This 21-nucleotide non-coding RNA is filed under the name Arabidopsis thaliana (thale cress). The record is from RNAcentral. Lineage: Eukaryota; Viridiplantae; Streptophyta; Magnoliopsida; Brassicales; Brassicaceae.
UCCACAAGUGCCAAUUGUUAU